AAUAGGGUGUGCUCCAGAUGUCACCAGGUCCAGGUGACGCCUCUGACCAGGAGGAGAACACCAUCCAGUGAACACCUCCAUAGGGGAAUGGAUUUCAGAGAAGACUCAGUGACCGGGUUUCUAUGACAACACUGACGUGCAUCGCGCUGAUGCGCGAUGACGUCACCACUCUGCGCCAGUGCUCGUCGGGCGGCCCUUCGCGCCGGAGCAUGCAGCUUUCCACACGUGGGUCACUUAUGUUUGGUGGGGAUAUAAGUUACCAACAGCACAAAUAGAAUACUGGUACAUUAUUCUGUAUCUAUAAAGAAGUUUUUCAUUUUCAUGGUCUGCUUUACAGUCUAUUGGAUAGAGUGCAAAAUAGAAAACAAGGAAACAGGUCAAGCAGUUAAUGAAUGGUAAAGCUGAGCCAUGAAAAAUGGAUCUUAAUGAAGUGUAACCUAAGGUAAUAAAGCUAUGAGCACCCU
Molecule: long non-coding RNA, 464 nt
Organism: Pseudophryne corroboree (corroboree frog)
Lineage: Eukaryota; Metazoa; Chordata; Amphibia; Anura; Myobatrachidae
Exons: 4
Source: RefSeq, a predicted model, not a curated record